Macaca fascicularis (crab-eating macaque) is the source of this 2152-nucleotide long non-coding RNA. NCBI's taxonomy places the organism in Eukaryota, Metazoa, Chordata, Mammalia, Primates, Cercopithecidae. The record is from Ensembl.
UUUUUUUUUUUUUUUUUUUUUACUUUAUAAAUAAAAACGUGCUCUAUAAGCCAGGCGUGGUGGCUCACGCCUGUAAUCCUAGCACUUCGGGAGGCUGAGGUGGGCAGAUCACCUGAGGUCAGGAGUUCAGGACCAGCCUGGCCAACACGGCGAAACCCUUUCUCUACUAAAAAUACAAAAAUUAGCCGGUCAUGGUGGCACAUGCCUGUAAUCCCAGCUAGCUACUCCAGAGGCUGAGGCAGGAGAAUCCCUUGAACCCGAGAGGCAGAGGUUGCAGUGAGCCAAGAUCAUGCUACUACCCUCCAGUCUGGGUGACAGAGCAAGACUCCGUCUCAAAAAUAAGAGAAAAAAAAGAAAAAAAAAAAAACAAAAAAAGCUCUAUAAAUAAAGUUUAGUAAGAUUAGAUAAUUUGCUCAAAGUGAGAGUAAGUAGCUAUGUUAGCGGUGGAGGGUGUCCAGGUUCUUGGCGUCCUGAACGAAGAAUUGGACAAAAUGCACAAACAAAGCAAGGAAAGAAUGAAGCAACAAAAGCAGAAAUUUAUUGAAAGUACACUCCAGAGUGUGGGAGCAGGUCAAGCACAGGGGCUCCAGGACCCAGUUACAGAAUUGUGAGGGGUUUAAAUACCCUCUAGAGGAUCUCAUUGGUGACUUGGUGUACCCCCCCUAUGUAAAUAGAGAGGAUGUUUCCUGUCAUAGCUGAAGUGUGAAUCGACCUUAUGUUCCCUGCCUCCAGACCCUAUUUUCCUGCCUCAGCUACAGUCUGACUAUGAACUCAUUUGGUUAUACUAAACCCAAGGAUCCCAGCAACAACACUAAAGAACAAUAUGAAAAAAUCCUAUUUCCUACAAGUACACGGUAGCAAAGGGAGAGAUGCGACCUUCUGGUGUUACAAUAAUUGGGUAAUCAUUAAUUAGGCUGCUUUUAAAUGUAUUGUUUAUGUUGAGUAAUUUCUAUAGAAAUCAAAGACUAUGACUAUUAAUAUUCUCUUUAAAAUAUUCCUAUUUUGGCUGGGCCUGGUAGCUCACGCCUGUAAUCCCAGCAUUUUGGAAGGCUGAGGCAAGUGGAUCACUUGAGGUCAGGAGUUCAAGACCAGCCUGGCCAACACGGUGAAAUCCCCAUCUCUACUAAAAAUACAAAAAUUAGCCAGGUGUGGUGGUGCACGCCUGUAAUUCCAGCUACUCGGGAGGCUAAGGCAGGACAAUCACUUGAACCCAGGAGGCAGAGGUUGCAGUGAGCCAAGAUCGUGCCAGUGCACUCCAGCCUGGGCAAUAGAGUAAGACUCCAUCUCAAAAAACAAACAACAACAACAACAACAAAAUCAAAUACCUACUUUGGCUCAUUUAUAUCCGAUAUAGUUUGAGUUUCACAAUACCUCACUUUUCAUGUAAUCUUCCUCUGUCAGCUAUAGAUCUUGGGAAGGAGGUUUGCAUAUGUGUGUGAAAAACUCACACCCAAAGUGUUCUCUAUUCUCACUCAACAACAACACAGACUUCUGUGACCAAAUGUGGGGGAGCUCCCUUCACACACCAAGCAACCAACCAAUUCUGCAGCAGGCACCAGCUGGGUGUCCUCCCAAGUCAAUUCAAUUCUGACGCUAUCUACCUGGAGAUAGCCUUGGAACCCACAGGUUAAGGGCUCAGUCCCACAAGGCCACCGCCUCUUUCCCACCAAUCCAAAGUCCAGGCCUCUGGAACUUAGGACUUCAAGUUGGGGUUCCCCUUUUUGGGGUUUAACUUCUUAGAGUGGCUCACAACUCAAGGAAACACUUAAGUUUACCAGUUUAUUAUCAAGGGUAUCUUAAAGGAUACAAAUAAACACGCAGAUGGAGACACACAGGAUGAGGUCUGGACGGGUCCCAAGCACAGGAGCUUCUGUCCCUGUGGAGCUGAGGGGCAUCACCCUCCCGGCACAUGGAUCAGUUCUUGGUCAGCAUCCGUGCGUUCAGCAGUCCUCUUGGGCCUUCUAUGGAGACUUCCCUGAAUAAGCACGAUUGACCAUUGUGCGGAAAUAGCAUUGGACAAAAAGGGUAUGGUCUAAUACGAAUAGGCGGAGAAGGAAAAGCCCGCAAGGCCUGUCUGUUCACAUUCUUCCUGGUCCCUCUGUGCAGCAGUCCUUCCUCCAGGGUAUGGAGUAGAACCCUCUUUAGAAGGAGG